Molecule: long non-coding RNA, 590 nt
Filed under: Panax ginseng (ginseng)
Lineage: Eukaryota; Viridiplantae; Streptophyta; Magnoliopsida; Apiales; Araliaceae
Description: long non-coding RNA (PGIN_LNC018058)
Source: RNAcentral
UUCGUAGUCCUCAUUAUUUUUAUAAAAUAAUGUAUCAAUAAAUGUGAUGAGAAUUUAUUUGAGUAUAGAUAUUGUCUAGAAGAUAAUAUUUGUAUUCAAACUCACAGUUUUACUGUUGUAAUAAUAAAAUUGUAGUUGUUUCUGUACCAUGUAUUUGGUGACUCAGAAUGGGUUGGAUGGAAUGGACCUAUUUUGGGGGCGUCACAGAUUAUAACCAAAAGAAAGUAUAUACAAUUUAUUACUAAUCCUAAUUUUUAUAAUUUUAGAAAUAUAUUUAUAUAUGCUUAAUUAUUAAUUCUAAAAAUAGUCAAUUUAAUUUUAAAAAAUCAAAACUGAACAAUUAAUUUAAGACAGAGGGAGUAAUAUAGUGCAUCAUAUAUUAAAACCUGUAAGAAUCGGAAGCGGGUAGCAAGUUCUUGGCACUCAUAAUCCUAUAGUCCCAUCCUUUACAACAAUUUUCAAUUCUUUAAUUUGACCAAGUGCAUUUUUUGCACUUAAAAUUAGUAUGAAUGUGUUCUACAAAAAUUUAAAAAUAUAUGUUUUUGUAACAUUAAAAUUCACUUCCUUGUAUGAACAAAACAAUAUUAGAA